UGGAAGUAAAAGUCGUAACAAGGUUUCCGUAGGUGAACCUGCGGAAGGAUCAUUAACGCGCCGUGGGGGGUCGGCCCCUAACCGGGACCCCGGCCCCCUCACCUGGCCACCCUUGUCUAUUCUACCUGUUGCUUCGGCGGGCCUGCAGCAAUGCUGCCGGGGGAGUCUUCUCUCCCCGGGCCCGCGCCCGCCGAGGACACCCUAGAACCUCCGGUUAAAGAUUGACGUCUGAGACAUAACUAUAAUCAGUUAAAACUUUCAACAACGGAUCUCUUGGUUCCGACAUCGAUGAAGAACGCAGCGAAAUGCGAUAAGUAAUGUGAAUUGCAGAAUUCCGUGAAUCAUCGAAUCUUUGAACGCACAUUGCGCCCCCUGGUAUUCCGGGGGGCAUGCCUGUCCGAGCGUCAUUUCAACCCUCAAGCCCGGCUUGUGUGUUGGGCCCUCGUCCCCCGUGGACGUGCCCGAAAUGCAGCGGCGGCGUCGUGUUCCGGUGCCCGAGCGUAUGGGGCUUUGUCACCCGCUCUUGAGGCCCGGCCGACUCCGGCCCCCACUCAACACCCGGGGGGUCUUCGGACCCCCCGACCAGGUUGACCUCGGAUCAGGUAGGGAUACCCGCUGAACUUAAGCAUAUCAAUAAGCGGAGGAA
Molecule: unclassified non-coding RNA, 646 nt
Filed under: [Emmonsia] crescens
Lineage: Eukaryota; Fungi; Ascomycota; Eurotiomycetes; Onygenales; Ajellomycetaceae
Description: Emmonsia crescens sequence contains 18S rRNA gene, ITS1, 5.8S rRNA gene, ITS2, 28S rRNA gene
Rfam family: 5.8S ribosomal RNA (bases 254-407)
Source: RNAcentral